UGGGGCGUCGUCUAAUGGCAGGACGUCAGACUUUGAAUCUGAUUAUCAAGGUUCGAAUCCUUGCGCCCCAGCCACCU
This 77-nucleotide transfer RNA is filed under the name Allostigmatella aurantiaca DW4/3-1. Its description in RNAcentral is "Stigmatella aurantiaca DW4/3-1 tRNA-Gln". It matches the Rfam family "tRNA". Rfam says of the family: Transfer RNA (tRNA) molecules are approximately 80 nucleotides in length. The record is from RNAcentral. Lineage: Bacteria; Pseudomonadati; Myxococcota; Myxococcia; Myxococcales; Archangiaceae.